This 68-nucleotide transfer RNA is filed under the name Candidatus Gottesmanbacteria bacterium. RNAcentral describes it as "tRNA-OTHER". The record is from RNAcentral. Lineage: Bacteria; Candidatus Gottesmaniibacteriota.
GGGCCCGCCAGGUUUGGGAACUGGACCUAAGAACUCCGGUCUCACGGGUUCGAUUCCCGUCGGGUCCA